AUCGCUAUGUCUCCAAGGCCUCUCCACACCUCGAUGGGGAUACCAUCAGGACCCAUCGCGUUGCCUACUUUCAUCCUUUUUAACGCCUCCUUAACCUCACACUCCUGGAUACGUCGCACAAAGCACAUGCUAGUAUCAUCAAAGGAGUCGUCUAGCUCAAUGGUAGAGCUAUCAACCUCUCCAUUGUAAAGGUUGUCAAAGUACUCCCGCCAUCUACGC
This 219-nucleotide long non-coding RNA is filed under the name Hordeum vulgare. RNAcentral describes it as "long non-coding RNA (HVUL_LNC018652)". The record is from RNAcentral. Lineage: Eukaryota; Viridiplantae; Streptophyta; Magnoliopsida; Poales; Poaceae.